ACGUGUGGGAGUGUGUACGGAAAGAGGCGGAAGCGCCGCGGAGCCGCCGGGAACCGGACCGGGAUCGUCGGGAUCGGAAUUAUCGGGAUUAUCGGGAUAACCGGGAUCGAGGAGAGGGCCCAGAGCCCUCCAGGCUCCGCCGGGGAUGUUCCACGGCAUCGCAGGCCCGGCCGGGAUGGGCGCAGCGCCUGGGAAUAAACCGGAGCUUUACGAGGAGGUGAAGCUCUACAAGAACGCCCGCGAGAGGGAGAAGUGAGUGAGGGAAUUUUGGGGAUUUUUUUGGAAUUUUGGGAUGGGGAUGGAGGCGUUUGGGGUUGGGAUUUA
This is a non-coding RNA of Cyanistes caeruleus (blue tit), 324 nucleotides long. NCBI's taxonomy places the organism in Eukaryota, Metazoa, Chordata, Aves, Passeriformes, Paridae. The record is from RefSeq and is a predicted model, not a curated record.